GACGAACGCUGGCGGCGUGCUUAACACAUGCAAGUCGAGCGGUAAGGCCCUUUCGGGGGUACACGAGCGGCGAACGGGUGAGUAACACGUGGGUGACCUGCCCUUAGCUCUGGGAUAAGCCUGGGAAACUGGGUCUAAUACCGGAUAUGACUCCAUGACGCAUGUUGUGGGGUGGAAAGCCUUGUGCGGCUAGGGAUGGGCCUGCGGCCUAUCAGCUUGUUGGUGGGGUGANGGCCUACCAAGGCGACGACGGGUAGCCGGCCUGAGGGGCGACCGGCCACACUGGGACUGAGACACGGCCCAGACUCCUACGGGAGGCAGCAGUGGGGAAUCUUGCGCAAUGGGCGAAAGCCUGACGCAGCGACGCCGCGUGGGGAUGACGGCCU
Molecule: ribosomal RNA, 386 nt
Filed under: uncultured bacterium
Lineage: Bacteria
Description: bacterial SSU rRNA
Rfam family: Bacterial small subunit ribosomal RNA
Source: RNAcentral